This 492-nucleotide ribosomal RNA is filed under the name uncultured bacterium. RNAcentral describes it as "partial 16S ribosomal RNA". It matches the Rfam family "Bacterial small subunit ribosomal RNA", at positions 29 to 507 of the family's 1533-position model. The record is from RNAcentral.
AGUGAACGCCGGCGGUAGGCCUAACACAUGCAAGUCGAACGGCAGCACAGUAAGAGCUUGCUCUUACGGGUGGCGAGUGGCGGACGGGUGAGGAAUACAUCGGAAUCUACUUUUUCGUGGGGGAUAACGUAGGGAAACUUACGCUAAUACCGCAUACGACCUACGGGUGAAAGCAGGGGAUCUUCGGACCUUGCGCGAUUGAAUGAGCCGAUGUCGGAUUAGCUAGUUGGCGGGGUAAAGGCCCACCAAGGCGACGAUCCGUAGCUGGUCUGAGAGGAUGAUCAGCCACACUGGAACUGAAACACGGUCCAGACUCCUACGGGAGGCAGCAGUGGGGAAUAUUGGACAAUGGGCGCAAGCCUGAUCCAGCCAUACCGCGUGGGUGAAGAAGGCCUUCGGGUUGUAAAGCCCUUUUGUUGGGAAAGAAAAGCAGCAGGUUAAUACCCCGCUGUUCUGACGGUACCCAAAGAAUAAGCACCGGCUAACUUCGUG